RNAcentral lists this ribosomal RNA (468 nucleotides) under uncultured bacterium. RNAcentral's name for it is "partial 16S ribosomal RNA". It matches the Rfam family "Bacterial small subunit ribosomal RNA", at positions 28 to 507 of the family's 1533-position model. The record is from RNAcentral.
GACGAACGCUGGCGGCGUGCUUAACACAUGCAAGUCGAACGGAAAGGCCCUGCUUUUGUGGGGUGCUCGAGUGGCGAACGGGUGAGUAACACGUGAGUAACCUGCCCUUGACUUUGGGAUAACUUCAGGAAACUGGGGCUAAUACCUGAUAGGAGCUCCUGCUGCAUGGUGGGGGUUGGAAAGUUUCGGCGGUUGGGGAUGGACUCGCGGCUUAUCAGCUUGUUGGUGGGGUAGUGGCUUACCAAGGCUUUGACGGGUAGCCGGCCUGGGAGGGUGACCGGCCACAUUGGGACUAAGGUACGGCCCAGACUCCUACGGGAGGCAGCAGUGGGGAAUAUUGCACAAUGGGCGGAAGCCUGAUGAAGCAACGCCGCGGGCGGGAUGACGGCCUUCGGGUUGUAAACCGCUUUCGCCUGUGACGAAGCGUGAGUGACGGUAAUGGGUAAAGAAGCACCGGCUAACUACGUG